This 378-nucleotide ribosomal RNA is filed under the name uncultured bacterium. RNAcentral's name for it is "bacterial SSU rRNA". It matches the Rfam family "Bacterial small subunit ribosomal RNA", at positions 371 to 765 of the family's 1533-position model. The record is from RNAcentral.
AUGUGCGAAAGCGCGAACCAGCAACGCCGCGUGCACGAUGAAGGCCUUCGGGUCGUAAAGUGCCUUUAGCGAGGAUGAGGAAGGACAGUACUUUCUGAAUAAGCCUCGGCUAACUACGUGCAAGCAGCAGCGGUAAAACGUCGGAGGCAAGCGUUCUCCGGAUUUACUGGGCGUAAAGCGCAUGCAGGUGGUUUUGUAAGUUGGAUGUGAAAGCUCCUGGCUUAACUGGGAGAGGUCGUUCAAAACUACAAGACUUGAGAUUGGUAGAGGAAAAUGGAAUUCCGGGUGUAGUGGUGAAAUGCGUAGAUAUCCGGAGGAACACCAGUGGCGAAAGCGGUUUUCUGGACCAAUUCUGACACUCAGAUGCGAAAGCUAAGG